This 465-nucleotide ribosomal RNA is filed under the name uncultured Klebsiella sp. Its description in RNAcentral is "bacterial SSU rRNA". It matches the Rfam family "Bacterial small subunit ribosomal RNA", at positions 338 to 795 of the family's 1533-position model. The record is from RNAcentral. Lineage: Bacteria; Pseudomonadati; Pseudomonadota; Gammaproteobacteria; Enterobacterales; Enterobacteriaceae.
CCUACGGGGGGCAGCAGUGGGGAAUAUUGCACAAUGGGCGCAAGCCUGAUGCAGCCAUGCCGCGUGUGUGAAGAAGGCCUUCGGGUUGUAAAGCACUUUCAGCGGGGAGGAAGGCGGUGAGGUUAAUAACCUCAUCGAUUGACGUUACCCGCAGAAGAAGCACCGGCUAACCCCGUGCCAGCAGCCGCGGUAAUACGGAGGGUGCAAGCGUUAAUCGGAAUUACUGGGCGUAAAGCGCACGCAGGCGGUCUGUCAAGUUGGAUGUGAAAUCCCCGGGCUCAACCUGGGAACUGCAUUCGAAACUGGCAGGCUAGAGUCUUGUAGAGGGGGGUAGAAUUCCAGGUGUAGCGGUGAAAUGCGUAGAGAUCUGGAGGAAUACCGGUGGCGAAGGCGGCCCCCUGGACAAAGACUGACGCUCAGGUGCGAAAGCGUGGGGAGCAAACAGGAUUAGAUACCCGUGUAGUC